AUUGCUUCUCAGCUGUCAGAGCUAAGAUGAUCAUGUGAUAGUAUCUGUUCUUUGCAGUGUAAUUCCUGCAAUGAUCUCUAAACUGAAACCAAUGAAAUUACCGGUAUUUUUCCCUUACGAGGACAGGUGCUGUUAGCUUGCUCAAAUCCAUCCACGGGUCGGUCUCGUAUUGCACUACCUCGAGUAUUGGCCCAUUAAUU
RNAcentral lists this small nuclear RNA (200 nucleotides) under Trichobilharzia regenti. RNAcentral's name for it is "U2 spliceosomal RNA". It matches the Rfam family "U2 spliceosomal RNA". Rfam says of the family: U2 is a small nuclear RNA (snRNA) component of the spliceosome (involved in pre-mRNA splicing). Complementary binding between U2 snRNA (in an area lying towards the 5' end but 3' to hairpin I) and the branchpoint sequence (BPS) of the intron results the bulging out of an unpaired adenosine, on the BPS, which initiates a nucleophilic attack at the intronic 5' splice site, thus starting the first of two transesterification reactions that mediate splicing. The record is from Rfam by way of RNAcentral. Lineage: Eukaryota; Metazoa; Platyhelminthes; Trematoda; Strigeidida; Schistosomatidae.